GGGAGGGGAAAUGAGAAUCCACACAUUGAACCAGCUCCCCACCCUGGAUGAGGGGGUUAAUUGGAUUUUUCACUCUUUCAAGGUGGAAUUCCAUGAUUUGAUAAUUACAUGGGACUGUAUCUCUCCCCUGGACUUUGGCCAUCUUUCCCACCGUUCAGAGAAAAUACGACUUGUUUCUAGACCUGAUAUUCAUCCAGCAUGCACCAGGAUGGAUGGAAGAUAAAAUACUGAAAUGUUUCCACACUGGUUGGUAAAUUACCGUCACCUGCGGAUACCUCCCCUGUAGUCCCAACAGGCUGGCUCGUCCUCCGGGAGAUCCCCCAGUGACCUCCCUAAGAUGUGUCACCUAAAGGGUUAAUGCCUGGCCCGGCAGGGGGCCCCCAGACUCUUCACCCAGCAUUAAGCUAGCAUCCAUUCUAGGUGGAAACUCCACUGGAAGCCCAAACCUCAGACGUGAGCCCCAGGAGAUACCAGCCUGUACAGCAAGCCCCAGUCCUCAGUAGCAUCUUUUAGAAAAAGUUCUGGUGCUUUGGCCAUCAUCCCGAUUACGUUUGCCCAUGACAUGAUCCGGCUGUCAUGGAAUAAAGAAACAUGAGGGUUUCAAUGCAAGGAAUGUUUAGAAAUAGAGAACGAAAAGAAUGUGCUUGAUCUCAUGUUUUCACUUUAAUGUAUUCAGAGCUGGCAGAGAAAGGGGGACAUUUAACUUCUAAUUAAUGAGUUGCUCCAUGUGUCCAAACAACUCUCCCAUCUCUUCCCUCACUGCAGAUGAAAGCCCAAGUUCUCUUGGAGCUGGGUGAUU
Molecule: long non-coding RNA, 799 nt
Filed under: Homo sapiens (human)
Lineage: Eukaryota; Metazoa; Chordata; Mammalia; Primates; Hominidae
Description: non-protein coding lnc-EXOC4-8:1
Source: RNAcentral